RNAcentral lists this long non-coding RNA (3595 nucleotides) under Sus scrofa (pig). RNAcentral describes it as "lncRNA (ENSSSCG00025015793.1)". Lineage: Eukaryota; Metazoa; Chordata; Mammalia; Artiodactyla; Suidae. The record is from RNAcentral.
GGGAAGGCAGGGGGAGGACAGGAGGGAAGUGAUGGAGGAGGCAGGGAAGCCGAGGGGAGAGGAGACGAGAGGUGCGGAGGCGCUGGCCUUUUUCUUGGUGCCCAACGCCCCUGCAGUGUAGCUCGGCCGUCUGGGAAGCCGCCAAGUUCGCGCCAGCCAGGCUCGCUCUGGGCGCGCCCAGCACUUGCCUGCGACGUGGAAAACCUAGAGAGCCCUAAAUCUCAGGGCUAAUCUCUGGGUACUUUGAGGAAAGCGUCAGGGGGCCUCGAGUCCCGCGGAGUUUUUGCGGAUGCGCCAGGCCGCGUGGGGAUGUGCCGCAGGGAAGAAGCAGUCUUGGAAACUCUCCCGCCCUGUUGGCAGCUGUCGGUGCCUGUGUUCUUUCUAGUAAGUGUGGCGGUUUCCUUUCCCUCAAGUCAUUCUAUCAAAGUCUUGGAAGCAAACUAAAAAAAAAAACUAGUCUGAAUUAGAAAGUUAAGUGAAGACGGCCUUAUGGGUUUGCGCUGCUCAGGUUUAUUCGUAGCUUCUUUUGGGUCCUUCUUCUCUCUCGCUCCCACCUUGAGGCAGAAACAUAGAUGAGGGACUUGCCGGAUGUCUCUUAUUUUCUACACUAGUUUGAACCUUUCCGCCGGAACUAUGUAUAUUACUUUCUCAUAGGUUUGUGAAUUAACAAACAGGAUUAUUGCAGUUAAUAAGAAGAGCUAAUAUGUAGUACUCGGGGCAGGCACUAUUUUGUUUACAAACCUGUGAUUAUUUAAUUCAUCAACUGUGUGAAGUCGGGGCUAUUGUCCCAUUAUCCAACUUACUUCAUUCCUUAGAGAUGAGGAAAUUGAGGCAUGGUCAAGUUAGAUAACAAGGCCUCUUCUAGCCUGUAAGUGGAAGAGAUGGAAUUUGAACGCAAACUGUCGGAGGUAAAUGCCAUGCUGUGGUCACAAUGUUAUAGAAAUUACCCACUAGCGAGCAUAGUUGUAUUGAAAUAUUAAACUUAUAAUUAGGUGGGAUUUUUUUUUUUCCUUUUACUUAUUUAGGCUUCCUGAAGUUUAUUUUGGCGAAAUGUCCAAAUUUAGUGUGGACAGAGCAGGACUCACAAUUUAAAAAGGAAACUCUCAAUAAGAAACCAUGCAUUCCAAGGCAGUGUUACAUUUUUCUUACAUGCAAGGUUAUUGAAAUGUUUGACCUGGGAAGUUAUUUUCCUUAGGAGAAACGUUUGUCUUGGUAUACCGUGAUCCCCGAGAACAUGGCGAGCCCUCCAGGAGAAACUCUUCAGUCAUCAGUGUUUGAAAACUAAAUAUUGAUUCAAAUGUACUCAAGAAGUGAGCAUCCUUGACAUGGUCGAUGACAUGAUGUCAAAUGAAAAGGAAAUUUCCCCAAAGAAACAUAAGUAUUGGGUGGAGUCAGGGAAGAUACUCAGGGAGUUCCCUUCGUGGCUCAGUGGUUAAGGAACCCCACUAGGAUCCAUGAGGAUUCCAGUUUGAUCCCUUGCCUUGCUCAGUGGGCUAAGGAUCUUGCGUUGCUUUGAGCUGUGGUGUAGGUGGAAGACGCUGCUUGGAUCCCGUGCUGCUCUGGCUGUGGUUGUAGGCCGGCAGGUGUAGCUCCACUUCAGCCACUAGCCUGGGAAUUUCCAUAUGCCUCGGGUGCCUGGGAACUUCCAUGUGCUGUGCUUGUGGCCCUAGAAAGCAAAAAUAAGAAAAGGGACGAUAUUCGUUUUUUUUUUUUUUUUUUCCCUCCAUUUUCUUUCUGGAGUCUUCUUCCCUGUCCUUGAACACUUCUGUGACCUCCAAGACUGGGUUAGAAGCCUCUUCUGUGUGCUCCUGUGCACCCAGAAUCUGUGCCUGCAGUGGUACACUGUUUUCUCAUUGCUUGUUCACCUAACUACCUCCUGGGAGAUUCUUAAGUUUCACGAAGGGCAGACAUUCUGUCCUUCUCAAUAGUAUGUCUCCAGAACUCAGCACAGUUGUCCUAAAAUUGGAGCAAUACUGACUGGUUAAAAUGAUGGUUUUUACUGGUCAGCCUUGUCUUGUUAGGAUGUACUGAGUUGGGAUUUAACAGAAACUGUGAGACCAAUGUAUCCAUCAGAAGCAUAGUCUCUAAACAGACCUCCCAGUUUCCUCCUUUCUUACAUUUCCUUGAAUUCCACCUACAUACUUUAUCUUAUCUAUCUCUCUGUCUCUCUCUAUGUUAUCUGUGUGUAUACCAUCUAUCUCCCUCUAUCUCUCUAUCUCUCUAUCCAACUGUCUGUCUGUCUAUCUGUCUUUACCACUGGAUAUAAACCACACAGUCAGGGAUGUAUAUUUUGUUUCAGUUUGGGUAUAUAUCCCAUUGUCCCACUUUUUGCACCCAUUUGGCACAUAAUAGUUUUUUUGAUAUUAAAUAAGAACAAAAACAACCUCUGAAAAUUUUAACUUUAUUUUGGCACCCAAUUAAUAAAUAACUGCAGCCUUAAUCCUAACCUCACUGUUUGGGGUCUGUAAGAUGAUAGAAUCAUACGAUUUUUUUUUUUUUUCCCUGAAGGGGACCUGAUAAUUAUGUAAGCCAGCUGGUAGACACAGGCUAUUUCAAUUUAAACUGACUAAAAUAAAAUUAAAAAUUAAGUUACUCAGCUUUUGCCUCCUUUUGGGUGCUCAGUAGCCACAUGUGACUAGUGGCUACUCUGUUGGGCAGCCUUGAUACAGAGAUUUCCAUUAUUGCGGAAAGUUCUACUGGGCAGAGCUGACAAGUUACAAAAAAUAGGUUAAAGGGCAUAGUUUCAUUAGCUUAAAUAUAUCACUGCUACUAAAAAAUAUUUCAGAUGGCAUAGCAGUUCUUUUACAUACAAAGAGCAUCACAUUCUUAUUUCAGAUGUCUGCUAUUUCACAUAGAUAAACAUUUUUUUUUCCUUAACGGUUGUGGUUAAAUUAAUGCACAUUUAAACAUAUGCAGAAGAGCCUGUGGUUCAAAAGGAUUCCUCUUUGUAGUCCCUUAAGGUGAAUAUUCACCCCAAUCAAUCCUUUGUGAGUCUUCACUUUUUUCUGGUUAAAAAUCCUCUGAUCAACUUGAGUCACUGCACAAGUUUGACAUUCAUUCGCUUCGGCUGUGCAUUUUAAGCUCGCAUGAUUGAGGAGCUAAAAUACUCAGUAAUGUUGGUAAAGGCCAAAUGCCAGAUAGUUUUGGACUGACCAAAUAUAUAUUUAAUGACAUCACACAUGCCCUAAGACAGUUUUCAAUUUACAAACACUCUAUUCAGAAGCAGCCCAGAUAGAAAACAUACUGGCGUACUUUCUUUAAACUCUUCCUUAGGACAGUAUUGCCAAGGUGCCCAUUGUACAAAAAUUAGUCAAUAAAAAAAUAAAAUAAAUACUGCAAUUCUAAGACAAUGGAUAGUGUAAGUUGUGGGGGCAACAAAGAAGCCGGAGUGAAACCUUGGGGAAUUAGUAGAGGUUAUUUCCGCAGUAGAGCAGAUUUGCUUAAGUGGUAACCCCCUGACAAAAAUAGUCUAGAGCCACCUUUCUCCCUCUGGCCCCGCCCCUCCUUGCCCUGCCUCUCUCCCACUCCCCUGUUCUUACAAUUCUUUUUUUCUUUUUUUGCGUUUUAGGGCUGCGCAGGCAACAUAUGGUAGUUC